CUCAAAGGUAAAGCCGAGCCCUCAUUCAGACCAAAAAGAGUGAAGGAGACCGUUCCCUUUGUUUGCCGCUGAGAGGUUACAGAAUGGAGCCCCGCGUGGGCCAGUGGGAGCCCCAGAGGGUGGCCUGUCAGGCCAGUGGAAUGUCAGGGAAAUGAUCUUGUGCUUCCUGUUGGACUAAAGGUGGCUCGAUCCCGAUUUGAAGACUUCCCCUCUUUGCUUCUUUGGAUUGUGUUGAUGCCCAGAUAAUACCCAGGUACAUUUGUGGAGUGGGGAAGAGGUUUCCAAGCAACCCUGCAAGGCAGACUUGGUGUGGACGAAAAGACAACCCAAGAGAAAAGGACAGGAAUGUUUAUAUCAUGCCCUGGGCUGGGAGUGUCUCCAUCACUGGCUACAGCUAAAUGUGUUCCUUCAGGCAAUGGGCCAAGCCUGUGUGCUUGCCUGGCUGUUGUAAAGAAUCACAGCAAGGUCUCAGGGCUUGUAAUACCUUCUUCAAAGGGUUACUAUGAGGCAGUACAAUGAGACAAUAUACAUAAACAGCCUAGUACCCAGAACAUAGCAGGCACCUCACACAUGCUCUGUAUUAUUUUUUUGUAGGGAUUUAGAGCAUGUAUGCAAUUUAGAUAAAAGGCUUUUUUUUUUUAAUUUGGAAAAUCAUUAUGGUUAACAUUCUCCUAUUGGUUAUGCCAGCUAUUGUGAUGCCCCCAAAGGGUUAUUUUCCACCUCCUUUACACCUGUCUUCCUGAUAAACAGUGAAGAGCAUCUGACAACACUGAGGACCCAAUAGUACAAUGGAGUUACGUACACAAGUACUUAAGUUGCUUGUAGUCAGCUACACAUUCAACAAAAGAAAAUAAUGCCGAUGAAUAUAUACGUAUAUAUGUAAUUUUUCCCCCCAACAAUAUGGUCCUUCAGUUCAAGCCAACUACUUCAUCUGGUGCUCAACCAAAGAAGGAGCCAUGGCCAUCUGUUCUAACUCUGGGGCAAAACUGGCUGUGUUGAACUUACUGUGAGAUGGCACAGAAUACAUAAAACCAAGUAAUCUGUACUACAUGGAUGAUUUAAGAGAUUUUUAAUGGUAAUUUUUUAUUGAUAUGAUUUUUGCCCUAUGUGUUGACUUUUAGAACCCAAACUCCAAGCUUGGUACAACACCACUGCCACACACUGUAGUGUGUCAUUUCAAGUUGUCAGAUGCUAAGCAUGUAUGAAAAGUGACCCCCCAUCCUCACAAUACCCAGUAUUACUCUGAUAUUAAUUUGGAGACUGCUUAGGCAGCCUCAUAGCUGUGAAGACAUCUGCAUUACCAUGUUCCUGCCAGUAAAUUCCUUCUCUCAACACUGGCAUUAUUAAUAUUUUAAAUUAUUUAUUUAAAAAAUACUUACCAAAUGUCUACUACCUGCUAGGCCCUCACUUCAGCUCUAGGAAUACAGGAGUGAAUAAAACAGGCUUCCUCUGGCCUUGUGGAGUUCACAUUCUAGGUGGGGAACCAGAUACAUUGAUCAACUAUUCACACAAAUUCAUUCAGUCAGUCAUUCAUUCAACAAACAUGAAACUGAAGGGAUAGACGGUAAUUCUCCAGUGGUCUCUGGGAAGAGCUGGGGCAUUGAAGGCAAAGCACACAGGGUAAUCCUUGCUGUGGGUUGUCAACUGCUGUGGAACCUAUCGCUCCAAACCUAUUGGUCUUCUAUGAAGUCUACGAUGAUGUCAGUCUGUGUUCUCUUCAUCUACAAACAUUAGGCUAACCCACCACCGUGAUAGAUGUACUCUCAAUUGUAGUUGUUGUUUCCUACUAAGAUGAUAAAUUUGCACUGCUCUCAUCAGACUCCUCCAACUGAUCAUCUUUUGAACAAUGGAUGCAUUUAGAGAUGGCUGGCCAGGGUCAGGAGAGCAGUCUAUAGCCAUAAAAGAGAUAAAGCAGGGUCACCACAUUCUAGAAUUAUUAAAGCCCUCAUCUUGGUCUUAUCAGAAAGUGCUCUCACUAACUGAAUAAACUAAGCCUAGAUGAAGCUGAUAUUGUCAUCUGGGAGAUUCUUACUUUAACUAGGACAUUCUCCUUUU
This is a long non-coding RNA of Balaenoptera ricei (Rice's whale), 2055 nucleotides long. RefSeq lists it as uncharacterized. NCBI's taxonomy places the organism in Eukaryota, Metazoa, Chordata, Mammalia, Artiodactyla, Balaenopteridae. The transcript is spliced from 3 exons. The record is from RefSeq and is a predicted model, not a curated record.